RNAcentral lists this ribosomal RNA (497 nucleotides) under uncultured bacterium. RNAcentral describes it as "partial 16S ribosomal RNA". It matches the Rfam family "Bacterial small subunit ribosomal RNA", at positions 28 to 507 of the family's 1533-position model. The record is from RNAcentral.
GAUGAACGCUGGCGGCGUGCCUAACACAUGCAAGUCGAGCGAACAGACGAGGAGCUUGCUCCUUUGACGUUAGCGGCGGACGGGAGAGUAACACGUGGAUAAUCUACCUAUCAGUCUGGGAUCACUUCGGGAAACCGGAGCUUAUACCGGAUAAUAUAUUGAACCGCAUGGUUCAAUAGUGAGAGACGGCUUUGCUGUCACUUCUAGAUGGAUCCGCGCCGCAUUAGCUAGUUGGUAAGGUAACGGCUUAUCAAGGCAACGAUGCGUAGCCGACCUGAGAGAGUGAUCGGCGACACUGGAAGUGAGACACGGUCCAGACUCCUACGGGACGCAGCAGUCGGGAAUCUUCCGCAGUGGGCGAGAGCCUGACGGAGCAACGGCACGUGAGUGGUGAAGGUCUUGGGAUCGGAAAACUCUGUUUUUAGGGAAGAACAAAUGUCUCCGUAACUGAGCACGGCGUGACGGUACCUGGUCAAAAAGCCACGGCUAACUACGUG